UGACCUGCGGAAGGAUCAUUN
RNAcentral lists this ribosomal RNA (21 nucleotides) under Phytophthora x multiformis. RNAcentral describes it as "partial 18S ribosomal RNA". Lineage: Eukaryota; Oomycota; Peronosporomycetes; Peronosporales; Peronosporaceae. The record is from RNAcentral.